AACGAACGCUGGCGGCAGGCUUAACACAUGCGAGUCGAACGCAUCCUUCGGGGUGAGUGGCAGACGGGUGAGUAACGCGUGGGAACGUGCCCUUCAGUUCGGGAUAACCCAGGGAAACUUGGGCUAAUACCGGAUACGUGCGAGAGCAGAAAGAUUUAUCGCUGAAGGAUCGGCCCGCGUCUGAUUAGCUAGUUGGUGGGGUAAUGGCCCACCAAGGCGACGAUCAGUAGCUGGUCUGAGAGGAUGAUCAGCCACAUUGGGACUGAGACACGGCCCAAACUCCUACGGGAGGCAGCAGUGGGGAAUAUUGGGCAAUGGGCGCAAGCCUAAUCCAGCCAUGCCGCGUGAGUGAUGAAGGCCUUAGGGUUGUAAAGCUCUUUCGUCCGGGACGAUAAUGACGGUACCGGAAGAAGAAGCCCCGGCUAACUUCGUGCCAGCAGCCGCUAACA
Molecule: ribosomal RNA, 449 nt
Filed under: uncultured bacterium
Lineage: Bacteria
Description: partial 16S ribosomal RNA
Rfam family: Bacterial small subunit ribosomal RNA
Source: RNAcentral